CCCAACAUAUACAAGAAGAGAACACACCUCUUUUACUUUCCUCAUGGUGUGUAAAGACUAAAGUGAUGCCAUUCCCCACCAAGACUCCAAGUUCUCUGGCAAGCUUCUGUAGAAGUGAAAAUAAUGAUGAUUUUAUUUUGAUUAUUAUAAUUUGGUCACCUGAAUUUAGAACCAGAAGUGAAGCAGACAUUUGAUGGUGUUGUGAAUAUUGUGAGUUAUAUGAUAUCUACUUUAAUUCACAACCUAUGAAUAAAUUCAUGUUGUCUUUUUAGAAGGUCAUAUAUCUCUUUUGGCUCAAAUCCUGCCAUGACACAUACCAAAUGUGUUCUUUGAGGGCCUUUUUCUCUCUGCUUAAGAGAUGACUAUGAGAAAGCAGCUGGUCUAGAUGUUCAGAGUGGCUGAAACCUCUCUCUUCUCCUUUUCCACUGUCCAGUCUCUCCUUUUCUUACCUAAAUUGAAUUCCAUUUCUUCACAUUUGAUUUCAGAGAGAUCAUGCUGCACAAAGGGACUGCAGAACUCAGAGGGAACUUUUGACAAGCGCUUUGGCAUAAGACGCAUAUCUCCCCACUCCCUUCAGCCUUCCCGGAGGGGCUCCAACUUUCAAUCUCUUGUUCACCUUUGCCGUAGCCUCAGAAACUCACUCUGCUGUCUGAAGUCUAGCUCUGGGCUGGGAGAGAAGAGAGACUGGCAAUGUAUGUCCUCGCAUCUUUCCCUGGAACAGAGCUGAUGGAAGAGGUUAAAUGGUAAUGACAAUGUUUUAAAAUUUUUAAUAUUUUUCUUGCCCACAUCAUAUUAUAUUUUUUGUGUUUAAAUUACAUAUUAUGUUUCCUUGCCCAUAUUAUAUUUGUUUUCAAAGUCGAAUUGUGCUCAUAUAGUAGGUCUGUGGACAUUAAUAAGGGUAUAUAUCUUUAGGUUUUGGAAGAGCAAAAAAGAAAAAAAGUAGGACAGUAUGUUCAUACAAUAUACUAAGAAUUACUCUGUAUAAUACAAGGCUAAGUUCAAUGGUGGCUUCUAGCACCAGGCUUCUCUGUCCAUGGAAUUCUCCAGGCAAGAUUACUGGAAUGGAUAGCCAUUCCCUUCUCCGGGUGAUCUUCCUGACCCAGGGAUCAGACCCAGGGAUCAAUCCCAAGUCUCCUGCAUUGCAGGUGGAUUCUUUACCAUCUGAGCCACCAGGGAAGCCCAGAUAAGCAAAAGGACCCCUAUUUUUGCUCAUGGGGUCCUUCCACUAAAAACAAUCAUUUCAGAAGAUAUCCUUUCAACUCUGCCCAACUGAUAUUUGAAAUUUUCCAUGAAUCCCGUUCUCUGCCCUCUGGGUUAAAUCACUAAUCUUGCCUUCAUUCUUGGGGAUGAGACCCUAGAUCCUAGCUAGAUACCACUUUUACCAGAACUUUACACAACUACUUCCAGGGCAGGCCUUGACUUGCUUUCUUGGGCAUCAAAACUUUUAGCUAAACAAAGUAAUAUAUCUUUUAUAAUUUAUUUUUGUGUUAAACUAAAUCCAUUUCUUAUUUGUUUGCCCAGUGUCCAACAAAUUUCAAUAUUUGGGGAUCAGAGACUCACAGAGAUGGCUUUAUUGUAAUUUGCAUUUUUCCUAAUUUCUAAAAGAACUUGAGAAACAAUUUGAAGCAUUCUUAGAUUUCGUUGUAGUUUUCAAAACAUGCUUGUGAGGGAGUUAAAUGAGAAACAGGUGCUUAAAAUAAACUAUUGCUAUUUUUAUGAAUCAUGUAUUUACUCUUGUGUCUUAGCAACAUAUCAUAGCAGUAAUCAAAGUACAAACAGAGUAGCUACUUGUCAAUCACCAUAAAGCAUGAGUUAAUGGCAAAGCAGGACACAGUGCUGGGAGAGAGGGUCCUAGAGGCUUCUAGGACCCCACAUGUGGUCUUUAGGACUCCACAAAGUCACCCAUGCUUAUUCUUAUUCAGUAAAGGGCCCCUAUCAUGGAAUAGGCAUUAGUCUAAGUACUACGGUUACUGCCCAAAAUAAAAAGAGACAAAAAUCACUGCCCUCAGAAGAAUCUACAUUUAGUUUUUGUUCCUACAUUUAUGGCCCACAGCACCUAACAGAGUUAGAAAUUGUACUUUUAAAAUGCAUUCCUUAUUUUGCAGCCAUUAAAAAUGAGUAUUUCUGAGAAAUUUACAAUCAUGUAGAAAAUGCUUCCUGGGUUAAAAUGUUAAAUGAGAAUUUGUAUAUGUAAAGUUGUAUUUGAAUCUGUUCUAAGUUAGAACUGAACACAGCUAUUAAUUAUCCCUUUUAACACACACACACACACACACACACACAGAGGUUACAAUAAACAGGCAUGUAGAGAAGACUAUAAGAAAAUACAACAUAAUGUUAAUGGUGCUUGUCCUUGAGUAAGGGAUGACAGGAAAUUCUGCUUUGUAAUUUUUGAAUCUUUCUUUUUUGGGUAGUAAUUACAUAUCAUCUUUCAAACGGAAGGACACAUGUCCAUUGAAAGAAAAUUACUGAAAAUUACUGAAAAAUCAAAAUUUUAGUAAACUUGAGAGGUAUUUUUCUAGGGCUUGUUUUCUAAGAACCGGAGGCUACAGGAUGAUCCAACUGGAUUUACUGUUUCCUUUCUCAAUGAAAGGGCUUUGGAGUUUACUAAUCACUGCAUUGAAGAUUCUCUUAUUUACCACUUUAGAGGAAGUAGAAGCAAGAAGGUUGAGUCAACUGGUUCUGUGUGUGCAAACAUACAGAGGUUGUCCAGCAUUGGAUGGUUGGUACACUAAUGCAAUUUCUAUUUUGAGAACCCACAUAAGAUGACUGUUUAGCACAUUCAAGACUGGUCAAUCUGGAAGGCAGGACUCUAGGACUUCUUUUAAAUUCCUGUUGUCAGGACAUCUGAACCCACCACCCAACACAUGGAUAGUAAGUUAAGGAGGAAGCAAAAGCUGCCUGGGCGAUUUCUUCUUCUUUUUAAUAAGAAGGAAACUCAAUCAAACUUUUGCAUACAAAUAUGAUAAAGUUCUGUUGCUCAGCUUUUAAUGAUAGCAUGGAAUUCUAAGUAAACAUGGAUGAAAUACAACUUGUCAGCACAAAAAUACCGCCUGUCAUAGUCAUUCGUGUAUAAAAUAUGACCCGCAGGUUUGAACCAUAUGGUUACAUGAGUUCUAAUUUACGUGGCAUCUUCUUAAGUCAGCAGAAUGCGUCCUGGCCUGCCUGUGGGAGAUGGAGUCAGCACCUCACUCAGUGAAGUAGAGAGGGCUCCUGGGGG
This 3217-nucleotide long non-coding RNA is filed under the name Cervus hanglu yarkandensis (Yarkand deer). RNAcentral describes it as "lncRNA (ENSCHYG00000008650.1)". Lineage: Eukaryota; Metazoa; Chordata; Mammalia; Artiodactyla; Cervidae. The record is from RNAcentral.